This 492-nucleotide ribosomal RNA is filed under the name uncultured bacterium. RNAcentral describes it as "partial 16S ribosomal RNA". It matches the Rfam family "Bacterial small subunit ribosomal RNA", at positions 29 to 507 of the family's 1533-position model. The record is from RNAcentral.
AGUGAACGCUGGCGGUAGGCCUAACACCUGCAAGUCGAACGUCCGCACAGUAAGAGCUUGCUCUUACGGGUGGCGAGUGGCGGCCGGGUGAGGAAUACAUCGGAAUCUACUUUUUCGUGGAGGAUAACGUACGGAAACUUACGCUAAUACCGCAUACGACCUACGGCUGAAAGCAGGGGAUCUUCGGACCUUGCGCGAUUGAAUGCGCCGAUGUCGGAUUAGCUAGUUGGCGGGGUAAAGGCCCACCAAGCCGACGGUCCGUAGCUGGUCUGCGAUGAUGAUCAGCCACACUGGAACUGAGACACGGUCCAGACUACUACGGGAGGCAGCAGUCGGGAAUAGUGGACAAUGGGCGCAAGCCUGAUCCAGGCAUACCGCGUGGGUGAAGAAGGCCUUCGGGUGGUAAAGCCCUCUUGUUGGGAAAGAAAAGCAGCAGGUUAAUACCCCGCUGUUCUGACGGUACCCAAAGAAUAAGCACCGGCUAACUUCGUG